GUGGAGGAUGAAGGCCUUGGUUGUAAACUCUUUUGUUGGGGAAGAAAUGCGAUCAGGUGAACAAUCUGGUCGUUUGACGGUACCCGACGAAUAAGCUCCGGCUAACUCCGUGCCAGCAGCCGCGGGUAACACGGGGGGGAGCAAGCGUUGUUCGGAAUCACUGGGCGUAAAGGGCGUGUAGGCGGUUGGGUAAGUGGGAUGUGAAAUGCCUCGGCUCACCCGAGGAUCGGCAUCCCAAACUGCCCGACUUGAGUAUGGGAGAGGAUGAGGGAAUUCCUGGUGUAGCGGUGAAAUGCGUAGAUAUCAGGAGGAACACCGGUGGCGAAGGCGCUCAUCUGGCCCAAUACUGACGCUGAGGCGCGAAAGCUAGGGGAGCAAACGGGAUUAGAUACCCCGGUAGUCCUAGCCGUAAACGGUGAUCACUAGGUGUUGGAGGCAUCGACCCCUCCAGUGCCGCAGCUAACGCAUUAAGUGAUCCGCCUGGGGAGUACGGCCGCAAGGUUG
RNAcentral lists this ribosomal RNA (504 nucleotides) under uncultured Latescibacterota bacterium. RNAcentral describes it as "bacterial SSU rRNA". It matches the Rfam family "Bacterial small subunit ribosomal RNA", at positions 401 to 896 of the family's 1533-position model. The record is from RNAcentral. Lineage: Bacteria; Pseudomonadati; Candidatus Latescibacterota.